UAGGGAAUCUUCGGCAAUGGGGGGAACCCUGACCGAGCAACGCCGCGUGAGUGAAGAAGGUUUUCGGAUCGUAAAGCUCUGUUGUUAAGGAAGAACGAGUGUGAGAAUGGAAAGUUCAUACUGUGACGGUACUUAACCAGAAAGGGACGGCUAACUACGUGCCAGCAGCCGCGGUAAUACGUAGGUCCCGAGCGUUGUCCGGAUUUAUUGGGCGUAAAGCGAGCGCAGGCGGUAGAUAAGUCUGAAGUUAAAGGCAGUGGCUCAACCAUUGUAGGCUUUGGAAACUGUUUAACUUGAGUGCAGAAGGGGAGAGUGGAAUUCCAUGUGUAUCGGUGAAAUGCGUAGAUAUAUGGAGGAACACCGGUGGCGAAAGCGGCUCUCUGGUCUGUAACUGACGCUGAGGUUCGAAAGCGUGGGUAGCAAACAGG
This 428-nucleotide ribosomal RNA is filed under the name Bacteroidota bacterium. Its description in RNAcentral is "Bacteroidetes bacterium partial 16S ribosomal RNA". It matches the Rfam family "Bacterial small subunit ribosomal RNA", at positions 355 to 776 of the family's 1533-position model. Lineage: Bacteria; Pseudomonadati; Bacteroidota. The record is from RNAcentral.